CAGCCGCCACGGUAAUACGUAGGUGGCAAGCGUUGUCCGGAAUUAUUGGGCGUAAAGGGCUCGCAGGCGGGUUCUUAAGUCUGAUGUGAAGGCCCCCGGCUCAACCGGGGAGGGUCAUUGGAAACUGGGAAACUUGGGUGCAGAAGAGGAGAGUGGAAUUCCACGUGUAGCGGUGAAAUGCGUAGAGAUGUGGAGGAACACCAGUGGCGAAGGCGACUCUCUGGUCUGUAGCUGACGCUGAGGAGCGAAAGCGUGGGGAGCGAACAGGAUUAGAUACCCCGGUAGUCCCUGUCUCUUAUAC
RNAcentral lists this ribosomal RNA (301 nucleotides) under uncultured bacterium. Its description in RNAcentral is "partial 16S ribosomal RNA". It matches the Rfam family "Bacterial small subunit ribosomal RNA", at positions 509 to 807 of the family's 1533-position model. The record is from RNAcentral.